RNAcentral lists this ribosomal RNA (354 nucleotides) under uncultured bacterium. RNAcentral's name for it is "bacterial SSU rRNA". It matches the Rfam family "Bacterial small subunit ribosomal RNA", at positions 527 to 881 of the family's 1533-position model. The record is from RNAcentral.
GNAGGGUCCAAGCGUUAAUCGGAAUNACUGGGCGUAAAGCGUGCGCAGGCGGUNGUGCAAGNCCGAUGUGAAAUCCCCGGGCUUAACCUGGGAAUNGCAUUGGUGACUGCACGGCUAGAGUGUGUCAGAGGGGGGUAGAAUUCCACGUGUAGCAGUGAAAUGCGUAGAGAUGUGGAGGAAUACCGAUGGCGAAGGCAGCCCCCUGGGAUAACACUGACGCUCAUGCACGAAAGCGUGGGGAGCAAACAGGAUUAGAUACCCUGGUAGUCCACGCCCUAAACGAUGUCAACUAGUUGUUGGGGAUUCAUUUCCUUAGUAACGUAGCUAACGCGUGAAGUUGACCGCCUGGGGAGU